Molecule: small nuclear RNA, 189 nt
Organism: Hippoglossus stenolepis (Pacific halibut)
Lineage: Eukaryota; Metazoa; Chordata; Actinopteri; Pleuronectiformes; Pleuronectidae
Product: U2 spliceosomal RNA
Exons: 1
Source: RefSeq, a predicted model, not a curated record
UAAGCUUCUCGACCUUUGGCUAAGAUCAAGUGUAGUAUCUGUUCUUAUCAGUUUAAUAUCCUGAUAUAUCCUCUAUAUAAAGGACUACAUAUUAAGCAGAUUUUGGCAUGAGACGUAUUUGGAGCUUGCUCCUUUCUCUCAUGUAUCGACCCUAGCAUUGCAGUGCCGCUGGGAAGCGGUGCACUCUGU